CUACGGGUCGCUGCAGUGAGGAAUAUUGCACAAUGGGCGCAAGCCUGAUGCAGCCAUGCCGCGUGUAUGAAGAAGGCCUUCGGGUUGUAAAGUACUUUCAGCGGGGAGGAAGGGAGUAAAGUUAAUACCUUUGCUCAUUGACGUUACCCGCAGAAGAAGCACCGGCUAACUCCGUGCCAGCAGCCGCGGUAGGAUACGGAGGGUGCAAGCGUUAAUCGGAAUUACUGGGCGUAAAGCGCACGCAGGCGGUUUGUUAAGUCAGAUGUGAAAUCCCCGGGCUCAACCUGGGAACUGCAUCUGAUACUGGCAAGCUUGAGUCUCGUAGAGGGGGGUAGAAUUCCAGGUGUAGCGGUGAAAUGCGUAGAGAUCUGGAGGAAUACCGGUGGCGAAGGCGGCCCCCUGGACGAAGACUGACGCUCAGGUGCGAAAGCGUGGGGAGCAAACAGGAUUAGAUACCCCGGUAGUC
RNAcentral lists this ribosomal RNA (466 nucleotides) under uncultured bacterium. RNAcentral's name for it is "partial 16S ribosomal RNA". It matches the Rfam family "Bacterial small subunit ribosomal RNA", at positions 339 to 795 of the family's 1533-position model. The record is from RNAcentral.